RNAcentral lists this ribosomal RNA (424 nucleotides) under uncultured Anaeromassilibacillus sp. RNAcentral's name for it is "bacterial SSU rRNA". It matches the Rfam family "Bacterial small subunit ribosomal RNA", at positions 338 to 759 of the family's 1533-position model. Lineage: Bacteria; Bacillati; Bacillota; Clostridia; Eubacteriales; Acutalibacteraceae. The record is from RNAcentral.
CCUACGGGAGGCAGCAGUGAGGAAUAUUGGUCAAUGGGCGAGAGCCUGAACCAGCCAAGUAGCGUGAAGGAUGAAGGCUCUAUGGGUCGUAAACUUCUUUUAUAUGGGAAUAAAGUUUUCCACGUGUGGAAUUUUGUAUGUACCAUAUGAAUAAGGAUCGGCUAACUCCGUGCCAGCAGCCGCGGUAAUACGGAGGAUCCGAGCGUUAUCCGGAUUUAUUGGGUUUAAAGGGAGCGUAGAUGGAUGUUUAAGUCAGUUGUGAAAGUUUGCGGCUCAACCGUAAAAUUGCAGUUGAUACUGGAUAUCUUGAGUGCAGUUGAGGCAGGCGGAAUUCGUGGUGUAGCGGUGAAAUGCUUAGAUAUCACGAAGAACUCCGAUUGCGAAGGCAGCUUGCUGGACUGUAACUGACGCUGAUGCUCGAAAG